This 83-nucleotide transfer RNA is filed under the name Dreissena polymorpha. It matches the Rfam family "tRNA". Rfam says of the family: Transfer RNA (tRNA) molecules are approximately 80 nucleotides in length. Their secondary structure includes four short double-helical elements and three loops (D, anti-codon, and T loops). The record is from Rfam by way of RNAcentral. Lineage: Eukaryota; Metazoa; Mollusca; Bivalvia; Myida; Dreissenidae.
AUUGCAGUAGCCGAGUGGUUAAGGCGAUAGACUAAAAAUCUAUUGGGAUUUUCCCCGCGAUGGUUCGAAUCCUGCCGACGACG